Molecule: ribosomal RNA, 1372 nt
Filed under: uncultured bacterium
Lineage: Bacteria
Description: bacterial SSU rRNA
Rfam family: Bacterial small subunit ribosomal RNA
Source: RNAcentral
GAUGAACGCUGGCGGCGUGCCUAAUACAUGCAAGUCGAGCGAACGGACGAGAAGCUUGCUUCUCUGAUGUUAGCGGCGGACGGGUGAGUAACACGUGGAUAACCUACCUAUAAGACUGGGAUAACUUCGGGAAACCGGAGCUAAUACCGGAUAAUAUUUUGAACCGCAUGGUUCAAAAGUGAAAGACGGUCUUGCUGUCACUUAUAGAUGGAUCCGCGCUGCAUUAGCUAGUUGGUAAGGUAACGGCUUACCAAGGCAACGAUGCAUAGCCGACCUGAGAGGGUGAUCGGCCACACUGGAACUGAGACACGGUCCAGACUCCUACGGGAGGCAGCAGUAGGGAAUCUUCCGCAAUGGGCGAAAGCCUGACGGAGCAACGCCGCGUGAGUGAUGAAGGUCUUCGGAUCGUAAAACUCUGUUAUUAGGGAAGAACAUAUGUGUAAGUAACUGUGCACAUCUUGACGGUACCUAAUCAGAAAGCCACGGCUAACUACGUGCCAGCAGCCGCGGUAAUACGUAGGUGGCAAGCGUUAUCCGGAAUUAUUGGGCGUAAAGCGCGCGUAGGCGGUUUUUUAAGUCUGAUGUGAAAGCCCACGGCUCAACCGUGGAGGGUCAUUGGAAACUGGAAAACUUGAGUGCAGAAGAGGAAAGUGGAAUUCCAUGUGUAGCGGUGAAAUGCGCAGAGAUAUGGAGGAACACCAGUGGCGAAGGCGACUUUCUGGUCUGUAACUGACGCUGAUGUGCGAAAGCGUGGGGAUCAAACAGGAUUAGAUACCCUGGUAGUCCACGCCGUAAACGAUGAGUGCUAAGUGUUAGGGGGUUUCCGCCCCUUAAUGCUGCAGCUAACGCAUUAAGCACUCCGCCUGGGGAGUACGACCGCAAGGUUGAAACUCAAAGGAAUUGACGGGGACCCGCACAAGCGGUGGAGCAUGUGGUUUAAUUCGAAGCAACGCGAAGAACCUUACCAAAUCUUGACAUCCUUUGACAACUCUAGAGAUAGAGCUUUCCCCUUCGGGGGACAAAGUGACAGGUGGUGCAUGGUUGUCGUCAGCUCGUGUCGUGAGAUGUUGGGUUAAGUCCCGCAACGAGCGCAACCCUUAAGCUUAGUUGCCAUCAUUAAGUUGGGCACUCUAAGUUGACUGCCGGUGACAAACCGGAGGAAGGUGGGGAUGACGUCAAAUCAUCAUGCCCCUUAUGAUUUGGGCUACACACGUGCUACAAUGGACAAUACAAAGGGCAGCGAAACCGCGAGGUCAAGCAAAUCCCAUAAAGUUGUUCUCAGUUCGGAUUGUAGUCUGCAACUCGACUACAUGAAGCUGGAAUCGCUAGUAAUCGUAGAUCAGCAUGCUACGGUGAAUACGUUCCCGGGUCU